GGUGCAGAGCGUGUGGCCGCAGCGGGCACGCGCCGUCCCGGGCAGGCGGCGGGGCGCUCGGGCCCCGAGGUUGAAGGGUUGGUAGCAGAUGUUGCAGUCCAGCUCGCCCCGCUCCGGAAGAGAGGGCACCCUCACCAGGAACUGCAUCGCGCCCGCCGCGGGCUCGAGGGCGUCGCUAAUGCGGCCGGCUUCGUGGUAGAACGAGCGGACCCUUCUGUGGCCCGCGUCUGGUCCUGGGGCGGGCGCCGCGGCCUCUUGCCUCUUUUAAUAGUGAGGUGCCGCCCUUCGUGGCGUCACGCUGUGGUCGGGCCGCUCCCUGCCGUGGCACGCGUGGGGGCGGUGGAGGUGCGAGGCCGGGAAUGACAGCUAUGGCGGCGCGGGGGAGGCGGCCCCGUGAUGCUAGGACUGGAGCUCUGCUGGUCACGCCUUCCUUCACCCCCCAGCACAGUGCCCAGCGCUCCUUAAUUCUACCAUGUGCGAACCCCCAGGUUCCUUCUUGCACAUCAGCCUGCAGCCACUAGCACAACAGGUCUCUAAAGCUCCUUGGUCUGUUUGUUAGUUGCUUGUACUCUUUCACAGCCGCCCCCCGCCCCAAACAGACGUCCUGAGCCAGGUACGCCGCCCAUUCUUCCCAACCAUUAGUGGUCUCCUGGGCCUUUUGAGUCGAUGCUGCCUUGGCAGUAACUCAUUCUGCCCACAAUUUUCCUUAUCCUACGACUUCUGUGUGUUCUUGUAAGGCUAGCUUCCCAAAUUUCAUUCUCCACCAACUGCUUAACUACCAGCUGACAGCUCGGCCUAACCAGGAACCUAGAUUCCAGGACCACUGUCUUAGGAAUGCCGAGAAUCCUUUCCUUCUGGAGUAUCCAGGCCUGGACACCCACACAUCAUGAUGGCUUCAGCAAAGCAGUCCAGCAUGAGUUCUGACUCAGGAGUCUGACUUCUACAGCUUCUUUGGAACUUCUCUUUGGAAUGGUGUUCCUCAGACCUUUUGAUAUCUUCAAUUGGUGGUAAAUCUUAAUCUUUUAAGGUAGAUUUGAUUAUAUAAAUGUUCCCAAAGUGUUUGACAGCCAAGGCCCCCCUAAGCUCCAGAUCUGUAUAUCAGUUGCCUGCUCUACAGCUCUUAUUUAUUUUCAAGAACCGAAACUAAUGAUCUCCCUGUCCAUACCAGCAUUUCUUCCCAUAUCCUACCCCUUCCUUUGCUCAAUGCCAAGAGAUUUAGGUAUUAUCUUCGACCUUUUCCUUGCCCUCACUUUCCUUUACCGGCCCAUCACUAAGCCUAGUUUAUUUUGCCUCUUAAAUAUCUCUCUAAUGCACUUACUUCUCUCCAUCGCCAGCAUACCACCCUAGUCCAAGCUGCUGCUAUUUCUUGCUUAGACCCCAGCAGGAGCCUCAGACCUAACCAGUCUCCACAGGUACUCUGGUUUCCUUCCAUAUCGUUUACAGUGUUCUUUCCAAAUCUCAAACCAAAUCCUGUCCUAUCACACACUCCUUUCACUCAUGUUUAAAACCUUUUAAUGUAAGCUGACAACUUGUUUCUGAAAAAAAAAAAUUUUAAAAAAAAAUAAAACCUUUUAACAGUGUGGUAGUUUGAUGGCCCUAAAUUCCUUUGCAACAUAACUUUGCUGCUUCUCCCAUCAAGAAUUAUGGUCUCUUUCCCUAUCCCUUGAAUCCAGGCUGGCCUCAUAACUAACUUUGACAGUAGAUGGGAAGAGUUGUGAAUUCAGAGCCUCGUCCUUCAGAGGGCUUGCACCUUCUGCCUUUGUUCCUUUGGAACCCUCGGGGUUGCUAAACUCUAGAGACUUAGACCACCAGACGAUGAGACCACAUAGAGAAGAGAAGAGCCCUAGCCAAUAGCCAGCUCUAACUACCAAACAUGUUGGUGAGGCCAUCUUGGAUUUUCCUGCUCAGCCAAGUGCUGUCGAAUGAGUGAGCCCAGGUGAAAACAGCAGAGGAAUUCCCAGCCAACCCACAGAAUCAUGAAAAAAAUAAUAAUAAAGUUUUUAAAAGUUGUUUCAAACAACUAAGUUUGAGGGUGAUUUGUUAUAUAUCAAUAGAUAACUGAUAUAGAGGGUUUCCUACUAUCCUUAGGAUAAAGAUAAUAUUCUAAGGUGCCUUGUAAGGUCCUGUGUAUUCUGAACUCUUCCAUGCCCAUAUUCUGCUUCCAUUUCUCUUUAGACAACCUGGCUUUGGGGACCUUUGGCUUGCAUGUUCCUUUCUGCCACAGGGCCUUUACAUAUGCUCUUCUCCUAACCCUCUUGCUUUCACCUUAUUAACACCUACUUAUCCCAGCUCUCAGUGCAGCUUCAUCGUGUCAAAGACCCAUUGUAGACUCUGGUAACCCAUGUGCUUUCCUUUGGACUUUGGACAGCUGAAGUUUGUAUUUGGUAGUUAUGUGAUUGUCUCUCCCAUCAGCAAGCUGCAUGUAGAUUGUUCUGAGUCUGGUUUAGUUCACCACUAUAUUCCAUACCAUUCCUUAGUAGCCUCAAUAAAUAAAUAAUGAGGAAGGUGACAAAUAUGGCAAAUGUUUAUAUACAAAGGAGGUAUGGCAAUGAAGGUUUUUCACAAGGGCUUUCUAAACUGUCUCUGAAGAUUAAUUUUAAGAAGAACUUUUGUUAUAAAACGUUUUAAGCAAUG
Molecule: non-coding RNA, 2634 nt
Organism: Microcebus murinus (gray mouse lemur)
Lineage: Eukaryota; Metazoa; Chordata; Mammalia; Primates; Cheirogaleidae
Source: RefSeq, a predicted model, not a curated record